Molecule: long non-coding RNA, 1829 nt
Organism: Nothobranchius furzeri (turquoise killifish)
Lineage: Eukaryota; Metazoa; Chordata; Actinopteri; Cyprinodontiformes; Nothobranchiidae
Source: RefSeq, a predicted model, not a curated record
AGCCAGCCAGAAUAGAGCUCACAGCCGCUGUGUGUCUGGUGACACAGGGACCAUGAUGGAAAUUCAUCUUCCAGAAAGUCCCAGAGCAGCAUCCACACCCCACAAAAGACCAAGAUGUAAGGUGUCUGCUGUUGAUUCCAGCUUCCACCUCAGUGACAGUGCAAGCUCAGUGAACUGUUCAAGGAGGCUACUGAUUCUGGCCCUGUGACACUUGGUGGUGACGUGUGAGCUGAUUCACCUGGACACUCAGCAAAAUAUAGACUCUACACCAUGAGGCAGGCACACGUUAAUAUUCUAUAAGAGCACAUAAGCCUGGCUGAUCACCUGAUAACUCCUGUCAUCUGGUUGUGACAGCAUGAGGAUGUCCUCACACACCUGUAACCUAUCAGCUCAUCUGGCAGAAUAGAGAGAGAAGAGACAACACCACAUCUCCUGUUCCUGGAAAGCCUUCAGCCAUCCUUCGAUGACUGAGAACCUCCAUCAGCUCGGUCUCCUGUCUGCCUACUAUUAUUAUAAUAAAUAGUGUGUUUGACAAGUUUUUUGUGCUGCCAAAUAUCUCAUAUAGAUUCCAGUUUUGAUAUUUUAAUGGAUAUUUAUAAAUUACAUUGAUUAUCACAUUUUUGUUGCAUGUUUAACUAGCUCUAUUGUGAUGAAUUAAACUAGCACCUCACUGUUAAAAGCUCGUUUUAAUUUGAAGCAUGUUUAAGUAUUUAUGGACAUGAACAAAAACAGGAAAUAUAUAAAUUGAGAUUUAUUUAAUUAACAUAACAAAUAAGGGGGAAAGAGUCAUUGAAAGGCACAUUCUUCUGGAAGCUCCUGAUCCUGACGACACCAGCAGAGGAGACCACCUGCAGACACCAGAGGACCUAGAACCAAGAGAGCAGCUGUUAUUAGUAAAUAAAUAAAUCAGGGCAGUUUUAGUGGGCUGAACACAUUACAGAAUAAUUUUCUCAUGGGGUAGUUUCAUAAUUUUAUGCAGCAGACUGUAACUUGAGCCCAGGGCUCCUGGAGACCUGCUAUCCAGCACGUUUCAGUGGUUUUCCUGCUUUAACAGGUUAGAUUAGCUGUUAAGCAGCUCAGCUAUUUGUUGCUGAUUAAAACCAGGUGUGUUGAAGCAGGUAAACCUCUAAAACAUGCUGAAUACUAGCUUUUUAGGGCCGUGGAGCCAAACCCUGCAGCUAAUCCAAUGCUAUGGCUAACGGCUACUUACCAUUCAGAGCUGGUUCUGUUGGAUCGGUUCCGCUAGUUUCAGGCAACUCACAAGCUCAAAACAAUAAGGCUCAGGUCCGCUUGUCUCCUCCAAAUAGACUUGGUCCCUUUCUUCUCGAGUGUCUGGGUAAGGAGGGGGAGAAACCUCCUCCACUUCUAAUAACUGCUCAGAGUGAAGGGAGCUAGCUUCGUCUAGGUAGCCAUCGUCUUUGUCACUGCCGCGGCUCCGCCCUCUCGGUCCUCCAGGCAACGCCUACUAAUGUUGCAUUUUUUAAAAUUGAUACGUGGGUGGAGAAGGACUCCGAGGCACACUUGACCCGCUCUUUAAGUCAGUAUGGAAUAAGAGGUGUGGCUCAUCAAUUGGUUAAAACUUAUUUAGAAAAAAUGAAACAGUUUGUUUUGAUAAAGGACCAUAAAUCAAAACUAUGUGAAAUGAAUUGUGGAGUGCCACAAGGGUCGGUCCUCGGACAAAAACUGUUCAUUUUGUUUAUUAACGACUUGGUAAAUGUAUCUAAAACACUCGGUACCAUUCUAUUUGCAGAUGAUGCAACACGGUUUCUUCAGGAUCAAAUAUUGAGGAGGUGGCUAAAGUGAUAAAUGAUGAACUGAUUAAAAUUAAA